This 1198-nucleotide ribosomal RNA is filed under the name Streptococcus mutans. RNAcentral's name for it is "bacterial SSU rRNA". It matches the Rfam family "Bacterial small subunit ribosomal RNA". Lineage: Bacteria; Bacillati; Bacillota; Bacilli; Lactobacillales; Streptococcaceae. The record is from RNAcentral.
GUGGCUCAGGACGAACGCUGGCGGCGUGCUUAAUACAUGCAAGUGGACGCAAGAGAACACACUGUGCUUGAUAGCCGACCUGAGAGGGUGAUCGGCCACACUGGGACUGAGACACGGCCCAGACUCCUACGGGAGGCAGCAGUAGGGAAUCUUCGGCAAUGGACGAAAGUCUGACCGAGCAACGCCGCGUGAGUGAAGAAGGUUUUCGGAUCGUAAAGCUCUGUUGUAAGUCAAGAACGUGUGUGAGAGUGGAAAGUUCACACAGUGACGGUAGCUUACCAGAAAGGGACGGCUAACUACGUGCCAGCAGCCGCGGUAAUACGUAGGUCCCGAGCGUUGUCCGGAUUUAUUGGGCGUAAAGGGAGCGCAGGCGGUCAGGAAAGUCUGGAGUAAAAGGCUAUGGCUCAACCAUAGUGUGCUCUGGAAACUGUCUGACUUGAGUGCAGAAGGGGAGAGUGGAAUUCCAUGUGUAGCGGUGAAAUGCGUAGAUAUAUGGAGGAACACCAGUGGCGAAAGCGGCUCUCUGGUCUGUCACUGACGCUGAGGCUCGAAAGCGUGGGUAGCGAACAGGAUUAGAUACCCUGGUAGUCCACGCCGUAAACGAUGAGUGCUAGGUGUUAGGCCCUUUCGGGGGCUUAGUGCCGGAGCUAACGCAAUAAGCACUCCGCCUGGGGAGUACGACCGCAAGGUUGAAACUCAAAGGAAUUGACGGGGGCCCGCACAAGCGGUGGAGCAUGUGGUUUAAUUCGAAGCAACGCGAAGAACCUUACCAGGUCUUGACAUCCCGAUGCUAUUCUUAGAGAUAGGAAGUUACUUCGGUACAUCGGAGACAGGUGGUGCAUGGUUGUCGUCAGCUCGUGUCGUGAGAUGUUGGGUUAAGUCCCGCAACGAGCGCAACCCUUAUUGUUAGUUGCCAUCAUUAAGUUGGGCACUCUAGCGAGACUGCCGGUAAUAAACCGGAGGAAGGUGGGGAUGACGUCAAAUCAUCAUGCCCCUUAUGACCUGGGCUACACACGUGCUACAAUGGUCGGUACAACGAGUUGCGAGCCGGUGACGGCAAGCUAAUCUCUGAAAGCCGAUCUCAGUUCGGAUUGGAGGCUGCAACUCGCCUCCAUGAAGUCGGAAUCGCUAGUAAUCGCGGAUCAGCACGCCGCGGUGAAUACGUUCCCGGGCCUUGUACACACCGCCCGACACACCA